UCAAGCAACUAAGCGCAUACGGUGGAUGCCUUGGCAGUCAGAGGCGAUGAAAGACGUGGAAGCCUGCGAUAAGGCUCGGGGAGCUGGCAAACAAGCUGUGAUCCGGGCAUCUCUGAAUGGGGAAACCCACCGGUCUUCGGACCGGUACCGUACGGUGAAUACAUAGCCGUACGGGGCGAACUCGGGGAACUGAAACAUCUAAGUACCCGAAGGAAAAGAAAUCAACCGAGAUUCCCUCAGUAGCGGCGAGCGAACGGGGACCAGCCCUUAAGCUGGACAACUGGUAGGAGAAGGCCCUGGAAAGAGCCGCCAUAGUGGGUGAUAGCCCCGUAUCCGAAACCUGAGUCCAGUGAAAUCGAGUAGGACGGGACACGAGACAUCCUGUCUGAACAUGGGGGGACCAUCCUCCAAGGCUAAAUACUCCUGACUGACCGAUAGUGAACCAGUACCGUGAGGGAAAGGCGAAAAGAACCCCUGUGAGGGGAGUGAAAUAGAUCCUGAAACCGUAUGCGUACAAGCAGUCGGAGCGGACUUGUUCCGUGACGGCGUACCUUUUGUAUAAUGGGUCAGCGACUUAUGUUCAGUGGCGAGGUUAACCGUUUAGGGGAGCCGUAGGGAAACCGAGUCUGAAUAGGGCGAUUUAGUCGCUGGGCAUAGACCCGAAACCGGGCGAUCUAUCCAUGAGCAGGUUGAAGGUUGAGUAACAUCAACUGGAGGACCGAACCCACUGUCGUUGAAAAGCCAGGGGAUGACUUGUGGAUCGGAGUGAAAGGCUAAUCAAGCCCGGAGAUAGCUGGUUCUCCCCGAAAGCUAUUUAGGUAGCGCCUCGGACGAAUACCACAGGGGGUAGAGCACUGUUUCGGCUAGGGGGUCAUCCCGACUUACCAACCCGAUGCAAACUCCGAAUACCUGUGAGUACUAUCCGGGAGACACACGGCGGGUGCUAACGUCCGUCGUGAAGAGGGAAACAACCCAGACCGCCAGCUAAGGUCCCCAAAUACCAGUUAAGUGGGAAACGAUGUGGGAAGGCUCAGACAGCUAGGAGGUUGGCUUAGAAGCAGCCAUCCUUUAAAGAAAGCGUAAUAGCUCACUAGUCGAGUCGGCCUGCGCGGAAGAUGUAACGGGGCUCAAACUGGUUACCGAAGCUGCGGCUGUGCACGCAAGUGCACGGGGUAGGGGAGCGUUCUGUAAGCCUGCGAAGGUGUGUCGAGAGGCAUGCUGGAGGUAUCAGAAGUGCGAAUGCUGACAUGAGUAACGACAAUGGGGGUGAAAAACCCCCACGCCGGAAGACCAAGGUUUCCUGCGCAACGCUAAUCGGCGCAGGGUGAGUCGGCCCCUAAGGUGAGACCGAAAGGUGUAAUCGAUGGGAAACGGGUUAAUAUUCCCGUACCUUGGAUCACUGCGAUGGAGAGACGGAGAAGGCUAGGUGAGCCGGGCGACGGUUGUCCCGGUUUAAGCGAGUAGGGAGUGGACUUAGGCAAAUCCGGGUCCACAAUCCCGAGACGCGACGACGACUGCCCUUUUAGGGCGGGAAGUCAUUGAUGCCCUGCUUCCAGGAAAAUCUUCUAAGCUUCAGGUGAUUCGAGACCGUACCCCAAACCGACACAGGUGGUCAGGUAGAGAAUACCAAGGCGCUUGAGAGAACUCGGGUAAAGGAACUAGGCAAAAUGGUGCCGUAACUUCGGGAGAAGGCACGCCGGUGGUAUGUGACGCCCUUCGCGGGUUGAGCAGAAGCCGGUCGAAGAUACCAGGCCCCUGCGACUGUUUAUUAAAAACACAGCACUGUGCUAACACGAAAGUGGACGUAUACGGUGUGACGCCUGCCCGGUGCUGGAAGAUUAAAUGAUGGGGUGCAAGCUCUUGAUUGAAGUCCCAGUAAACGGCGGCCGUAACUAUAACGGUCCUAAGGUAGCGAAAUUCCUUGUCGGGUAAGUUCCGACCUGCACGAAUGGCGUAACGAUGGGGGCGCUGUCUCUACCCGAGACUCAGUGAAAUUGAAAUCGCCGUGAAGAUGCGGUGUAUCCGCGGCUAGACGGAAAGACCCCGUGAACCUUUACUAUAGCUUCACAGUGAACUUUGAGCAUGUUUGUGUAGGAUAGCUGGGAGGCUUUGAAACCAGGACGCCAGUUCUGGUGGAGCCAACCUUGAAAUACCAGCCUGACCUGUUUGAGGUUCUAACUUGGUCCCCUGAUCGGGGAUGAGGACACUGUGUGGUGGGUAGUUUGACUGGGGCGGUCUCCUCCCAAAGCGUAACGGAGGAGCACAAAGGUGGGCUAAGCACGGUCGGACAUCGUGCGGUUAGUGUAAUGGCACAAGCCCGCUUAACUGCGAGACAGACACGUCGAGCAGGUACGAAAGUAGGUCAUAGUGAUCC
Molecule: ribosomal RNA, 2374 nt
Filed under: seawater metagenome
Description: bacterial LSU rRNA
Rfam family: Bacterial large subunit ribosomal RNA
Source: RNAcentral